CCAGCUCCCCCGAGCAGGAGUCUGAUGAGAGAAAGUGCAACUACGAGCGGUACCGAGGCCUGGUGCAGAACGACUUCGCCGGCAUCUCGGAGGAGCAGUGUCUCUACCAGAUCUACAUCGACGAGCUCUACGGGGGACUCCAGAAGCCAAACGAAGAUGAAAAAAAGAAGUUGGCAGAGAAAAAGGCCUCCAUCGGCUACACGUACGAGGACAGCACCGUGGCGGAGCUCGAGAACUCCUUGGAGAAGCGAGGGGAGGAGGAAGACUCUGAGGAAGACAGCAACACGGAUGAAGACGAAGUCAUCCCCGAUAUCGAUGUGGAAGGGGACGUGGGCGAGCU
Molecule: long non-coding RNA, 340 nt
Organism: Egretta garzetta (little egret)
Lineage: Eukaryota; Metazoa; Chordata; Aves; Pelecaniformes; Ardeidae
Exons: 4
Source: RefSeq, a predicted model, not a curated record